AAGGAGGGCGGCUGUGCACAGCCAGUGCUGUGGUGUGUGGGGGCUCCGUCUCUGUCUCAGCCUGGGCCCUCAGUGAUGUGGGGCCCUUUGCAACCCCUGAGGCUCCUUGCAGAACAAAGGAGCUACUGAGGCAGCUGGCUGUGCCUGGCACCUCCCUGCCCCCACCCCACCUCCCAUGUCUUUUUUUUUUUUUUUUAAUUCAAGCAGCUUCAGCCUGUCAGUCCAUGUCUGUUGGAUUGAGGAAGGAAAAUUGAAAAUCUCUUUCAAGGAUCUUUAAGAUUAAAAGGCAACUUGGGCUAAAGCAGAUGGUCAUCAGUGCUUGAAGCUGCAACAAAAGAUGAGGAACACAUAUUUGUCAAGCACUUUCUAUACAUCAGAUUAUUUACUCCUGAGGAAGCAGCUGGAGUUUUGCUGUGGACCCUGAGUGUGCCCGAUGGCUAAGAAAGUCAAGCCUGCAGAAGGAGUUCCCAGAAGUAUUUGAUCAGUUCUUUGUUUCCAGUUCAAAUAAUAAGACAAGAUUAACCGGGUGGUGAGGAUUCUUGACCUGCUGCCUUCGUCUGUCUCCUUUAUCCCCAAGCUCUGUUUGUGGGCUCAGGGGCUUGGUCCCAGACCAUGGGAAGCCAUGCUGACCAUCAAUCAUUCAUCAUAGAUUUCCCCUGGAGCCCUCCCUGUCUCUCCAGCUCUUCCCAAGGUCUGGCUUCUUCUAGGAUCCGGUCCAGUGUGGGCUACCAAUAUCCUCUGGCAUCCAGAACUCAGCCCUGUGAUGAUGCUCUUCCCAAGAAUGUGACCUGAGCCACAACAUUUUACUGACAUGUCCCCUAGAGUCCUCUCUCUCAUUCCAAGAAGAGCUCUGUGGCUUCCAUCCAGUGCUGGGACUGUCUCUAAGAUGAAGUCAAAGAUGUUCUUGAUGGAGUCUCUGUCAGCCUGGAUCCCAGAGUGCCCAUGUGGAGCAGAAAACUCCUUGCCCCAAGUUGGACAUGUAGCUGGAUAAUGUGAGAGCGGAGAAUGGAACAGGAGCUUGGAGAGGUGAUGGCAGCGGCUGAGCAGCGUGUUUGUUGUACCUACCCUCUGUUGGGGCUGUCUGGGGAGAGCCGUGAUGGGGUGCAGGGUGGGGAGUCUUAUACCAUGCUCAUCGCUCUGGAGGGAACACGACUCCAGUCACAAGAACUGAGCUGAGGUCUCUGGUGAUGAUGGAUGUCCACGAAAGUAAACUGGAUCGGACACAUAUGAAGGGCCAAGCACGUUGCAGACAUCAUCAUUGCUGCUCUCACAAUGCCCUGAAAGAUUUUCCCAGAUGUAGAUACUUGGUAAUUCACUAAGGUGCUGGAGGAGGCAGCGGCUUUCAGGUAACCUGACAUCCCAGGAGGUGAUCCAGCCCACUCUCACAAGGAAGCUGUUCCCAGCCUUCCAUGGGAACCAGAUGAAGAAAUAAUAAAGAAAAUGCCAAGAAAAUUAGCCCCGCAAGCCAGGAAGCCCGGGGCCUUUGCUCAGCCCACAGGCCACAAGAGACAGUGCCAGGUAUUCAGAAAACCCCAUCCAUGGGUCAGGCAUGGCUCCCGGAACCUCCUAGGGAUGCAGCUGUGGGGUCGUUGAGAAGCUCGGCUUCUUCAAGUCAUUUGGAAUGACAUGGGAUUUUUCAGUGUCACCUUCCUCUGCAUCAUGGCUGGGCUGAGUGACCCUCACUGUGGACAAGAACCAUGCUGUAUACUCUGGGGGCUGCCAACCCCCCCAGGGCCCUACCCUGCUGAAGGGUAAGCUCAUGUGAUCAAGGAGCUCUGAUGCCUCUGCACAUGUGGUGAGGGCCAGGAGGCAUCUGACAGCAAUCCCGGAGCAGCCCAACCCAUGAAAUGGAGAAGAGUUACCCCAACCAGAGGGGUCUGGGACAGGGCCUGCAGAGGAGACCUGAGUGACAGGGUUGUGGCCAAAAGAAAAGGUGCCUGGGCAUCCACAUACUCUUGUCCAUUCUGUCAUUCCUAAAUCUCUAUUCUCUGCAUUUCCAGUGGCUGCCUGGCCUGCAUCCUCAUCCACAGCUCAGGUCCCUCCCAGUUCCCUUUAUUGUCAGCCCCACUCUUGCUCUGCGCAGGCUGUGCUCCUCCCCUGCAGCCAUGCCACCUCCCACUUACCCUCUGACCUCAGGGUGUCUGCAGAGCCCACUGCAGCUCCCUUGAACUGAGACCAAGGAGGCACCGCUCAUGACCUUUGCUUUGGAAACUUCCACUGUUUCUUUCCUCUC
Symphalangus syndactylus (siamang) is the source of this 2233-nucleotide long non-coding RNA. RefSeq lists it as uncharacterized. NCBI's taxonomy places the organism in Eukaryota, Metazoa, Chordata, Mammalia, Primates, Hylobatidae. The record is from RefSeq and is a predicted model, not a curated record.